UACGAAGGGGGCAAGCGUUGUUCGGAAUGACUGGGUGUAAAGGGCGCGUAGGCGGUAUUUUAAGUGAGGCGUGAAAGCCCUGGGCUUAACCCAGGAGGUGCGUUUCAUACUGGAAUGCUAGAGUGCGAGAGAGGAAAGUGGAAUUCCUAGUGUAGAGGUGAAAUUCGUAGAUAUUAGGAAGAACACCAGAGGCGAAGGCGGCUUUCUGGCUCGCAACUGACGCUGAGGCGCGAAAGCGUGGGGAGCAAACAGG
This 253-nucleotide ribosomal RNA is filed under the name uncultured bacterium. RNAcentral's name for it is "partial 16S ribosomal RNA". It matches the Rfam family "Bacterial small subunit ribosomal RNA", at positions 524 to 776 of the family's 1533-position model. The record is from RNAcentral.